UCAUUAGUUUUUUAAUUGAAAGCUGGAAUGAAUGGUUUGAUGAAAAAAUUACUGUCUCAACUUUAAGAUUAGAAUUUUAUUUUUAAGUUAAAAAGCUUAAAUUUAUUUAAAAGACGAGAAGACCCUAUAGAGUUUUAUUUAAAAUAAAUUUAUUUAAUUUAGAAUUUAAAAUUUUAAUUUUAUUUUGAAUUUGGUUGGGGUGAUUAAAAAAUUCAAUAAACUUUUUUUUUAUUAUUACAUUGAUUAAUGAAUUUUUGAUCCAAAAAAAUGAUUAUAAGAUUAAAUUACCUUAGGGAUAACAGCGUUAUUUUUUUUUAGAGUUCAAAUUAAAAAAAUAGAUUGCGACCUCGAUGUUGGAUUAAAAUUAAGUUUUGGUGUAGAAGCUAAAA
This 389-nucleotide ribosomal RNA is filed under the name Sumnius brunneus. Its description in RNAcentral is "partial 16S ribosomal RNA". The record is from RNAcentral. Lineage: Eukaryota; Metazoa; Arthropoda; Insecta; Coleoptera; Coccinellidae.